AAAUGUUCUGAACCGGUCAUUUAUUCGAUAGAAAAAUAAUUUCCUGGUACAAUAACCUCUUUAGCUAUCUGGAAGACAUCCCACAAGUUGAAUCAAGAUAGUUCUUCAAAAGCGCAUUAAAAUGCAAUGAUGCUUCGGACAACUUUGUUUUUUGAGUCUAGAUAUUCCAACAGAACAACAAAAAACUUUCAGCUCCGAGGUUAAUGUAAGACGAAACUUUAAUGGGUUGUUUCGUCAUCCCCAGCUGUAGACGGUAUUUUAAUGAAUUUCCUCUUCGUAAGGUUUUUUCUUGUCUGUCUAUGCGACCUCUUUUCUUUCUGGCUAAUUAAAUAUCGUUGUUGUCAACAAAGCCACUAGUGGGGGCUCGGAGUUAGAACUAAACUGUCUGUUGUUGCACCCCCGUUGGUGGAAAACAACAGAGAUGAGUCUACAGCAUGGUCUAGAGGUAUACCGACUGAGAUACAAAACAACCACCAUUAUCGCUUGCUUUGUCAUUUUUCAUCUUGGUUAAAAAAAACUUUCAGUUUAUACUUACAUAAUUUCCCUACAGUUUCCAAAAUUAUUCACUUAAUAGCUUAAUAACAUGAGAUAUUCUAACAUUAAAUCAAUUUAAACCUAUUAAAUUUCGUUAUUUAUAAAAUUUCUAAACCGAGAUAUAUAAUAAAAAUCUAAAUUACUCUUGAAUUAAUCGAGUUAACAUUAUGGUGAAGCAAAAAUGUAUCUAAUUGUACGUGUUUCUUUAUUUAUUGCAGAGGACAGGAAAUUAUUUGUAGGAAUGCUCAGUAAACAGCAAACAGAAGAAGACGUACGUCAAUUGUUCCAACCCUAUGGCUCGAUAGAAGAAUGUACGAUUCUCAGAGGGCCUGAAGGACAGAGUAAAGGCUGUGCAUUCGUCAAGUUUAGCAGCCACGCCGAAGCUCAGGCAGCCAUCAGCGCCCUCCAUGGAAGCCAGACGAUGCCGGGUGCGUCCUCCAGUUUAGUUGUGAAAUUUGCGGACACCGAAAAAGAAAGACAAUUGAGGCGGAUGCAACAGAUGGCGGGUAACAUGGGGCUUCUCAAUCCCUUUAUGUUCAACCAGUUCGGUGCUUAUGGUGCUUACGCCCAGUUCAUGCAGCAACAAGCAGCGAUCAUGGCUGCAGCAGCACAAGGGAGUUAUUUGAAUCCUAUGACUGCAUUAGCCAUUGCCCAGUUACCCCAAAUGACUGCUGUCCCAAAUGGUUUAGCCAACCCAACCAUAACCCCCACUUCAGGUGCGGGGACUCAAGCUGUAAAUGGUGCUAUUCCUAACCUGCCUUCCCCUACGAUGCCGAAUUUCACCAUGCCCCAAGCCAAUGGUCAGACUGGUGAAGUAUAUGCCAAUGGAAUGCCUCAUUAUCCACCCCAGGCCAUUCCCAAUGGAGAUGCAUUGCAGCCACCUGCGUAUCCAAGUCUUCAGCCUUAUCCUGGAAUCCCAGCCUAUCCUGCUCCUUAUGGUCAGUUUGCUCAAGCUCUGACACCUCAGCCUGCUGUGAUCACCCAGACACAGAGAGAAGGUCCUGAAGGUUGUAAUUUAUUUAUUUACCAUUUACCACAAGAAUUUGGUGAUGCCGAGCUCAUGCAGAUGUUCAUGCCAUUUGGGAAUGUCAUUAGUGCAAAAGUUUUCAUUGACAGGGCUACUAAUCAAAGCAAAUGCUUUGGAUUUGUAAGUUUUGAUAACCCUGCCAGUGCCCAAGCUGCAAUUCAGGCAAUGAAUGGAUUUCAAAUAGGAAUGAAACGUCUGAAAGUACAAUUAAAACGCCCUAAGGAUGCCAAUAGACCUUAUUAAGUUUUGUAUCUUUACCUACUUUUGAGGUAAAAUGAAUAUUAAUUUAUUAUAUGGGUCUCAAAAGCAUAAAGGAGUAUGAUUUCCAUGACAUUUUGUCUGCACUGGAGGACCUGAUUAUUAAACUUCCCUUCUAGAAAGACAGUUUCAGCCUUAUCCUUCCUUUGAUAAGAAAAGAAAUAGAAAACUAGUGUUGGAUUGGACAUUAGUAGAGUGUAGCAGUGUACAUUUUCUUUGCUGCUUUCAGAGCUGAAUACAAUGAUAUAGAAAAAAAGACCUCCUUGGGGAUCAAAAUUCAAUGCUCUUCUGUAAAGACUCAACAUAACAGUAUUGUUUUUGGCCUUGUUGGUGCCAAGUGGUAAGUAACAUCAACCAUAUCAGCCCUUGGUGAAUAGACUGCACAUACUGUAAUAUACCAUGUUCUUCCAUCAUUUUAAGCCAAUUGGAUGCUAGAAGUUGAAAACAUUCAUCUUUCAGAAGACUGGAUCAGAAUCAGUGUUAAAACAUUGAAGACUUCAGACUUCUAGGCUUUAUAAAAGAAAGCCUCAUUAUGUGUCAAUCUGUCCACACUUCUGGACUACUAGAAUGAAGCAGCAGGACUAAAAACAUAAUGUAGACAAGUCUGUAUGUUACAAGAUAGAAUGAGACAUUGUCUCAAAACUUGUAUACAUUGAUUACAUCCUCGUAUCUUCCCAUUGUGCAGCAUAAUUUUUCUAGUAGCUCUAGAACUCUACAAAGAGAUUUCUUUUCUGAACAAAUAUUUUUCUCAUCUGUAUAGGAACGAAGAAAAAAGUUUUGCUCUUGGAGAUAUCUUUCGCGGAUUAUUGUAGAGUUUACAGAUACUUUUCACAAGCAAUGAUAAGAAUUAUUUUAGUCACGUAUUUGAGAUUGUAAGAGGUGCCCCAUUUCUGUUGUCCUCUAUCUGUUGGCAGCAUGUUUUGCCAUAGGAGGGUGUACCAGUCAACAAACCAGUACGUGCCAUCUGUUCCCAGUGACGCAGGGACGGUUAGGUUUUAGGAUGUAGAUGUAGUGUAAUUUAUUCCUGCAGUGGACAGGGUAUCAAGUCAACCAAGAAUCUUUCGGGCAGUUUUGCUUUUAGAUUUCGAUACCUAUAUAUUUGCAAUGCCGUUAUAUCUAGAAUAAACGACAUUUGCACUGUAGGCUUAGAAGGCUAGAAAACACUUUUGUAUUAAUAUUUUAAAAAUUGUACUUAGCUAAACAACACGCGACGAGUAGAGAUUGGAUGCCGGAAAAGUUUCGGCUAUAUGUUGAAUACAGCUCUUAGCUAAAAAAAAAAAAAAUCAACAAACAUGCCUUUGUUGAAUACUGUAUGGCAUGUAAAGAAAGCCUUACAAGUAUGCUAAUGAUAAAACAGCAAAAUAUUGCACCGUCUGUUUCUUUGGCUACAUCUCAUAGUAUGUAUGCAUUGGCACUGGUUUCAGUCAGCAAAGAUAUCAAGUUGGCUGCACUAGACUGAGUUAUAGAAUUUGUCAAGGGUCUGUGAUAGGACACCUUUCACAUCUUUUAUACUUUUUACAGUUGAAUUUUCCAGACAAUAUAGAAGAUUAAGGAAAACAUAUUUGAUGAAAAGAAUUAUUCGUAUAAAUGUGUAAAUUACCUUGAAAAAAAAUUUGCAGUUUUUCUUUCUUGAUUCAGAAUUUCCAAUUAUACCAUGCCAAAAACAUCCAGAUAGUAGCGCACAGACAUUCAUUGAGAUAGGACAUCGCUUUCAUAGGAUGUUUACAAGUAAUAGAAAGAAACAACAAUUAAUGCCAGUUACAACAUUCUGAGUUGGCUGCCUAUUGGAAGUUAUUUUGUUCUAUAAAGCAGCAUAUGUCCUAUCUGUGUCUUACUGGAUGGAAAGACAAAACAUAUUUUGAUCACUUGUAGAUUUAAGAAAAAUGGUCAAGUAGUUGCAUCUUCUACACUAAAACAUUUACUAGCAUUCCAGCUGUUAUAAUUUGGGGUUAUAUAUAUAAAUAUAUAUAUAUAUAUAUAUGUAAAGAUAGUUAGAUAGAUAUAUUGGGGAUUUUAGGGUGUAAUAUUCCAUGCCAAUGCAGCAUUUCAUACAGAGAAUUGCACAAACACAGCAUUCCUCUUCCCAGACUGACAAAGAUGAAUGUUCAAAAGAAUUCUUGUGUGUCAGUAUAUAUACUAUAUAUCUUUUAUAAUUGCAUCAGUUGGGUAUCAAUGAGCCAAAUGCAGUAAUAUAUCCAAUCUAAAGAUGCCAUCUUCAUUACAAUUGAUGUAUUAUUCUAUUAUUAUAUAUGAAUCAAUUUUCAACAACUUAGUUCGGUAUAAAUUUUUAAUAUAUUAUAUGUCAAGUUUAUAAAUUGUUAGUCUUUCAUUUUAAAAUUUACUAGCCAAGUCCUGGGAACAAGAGAAAUGAAAGAAGUGGAUUGAAAUUCUUAAGAAAAUGCUCAUUAAUUAUUGGUGUGAGACAGAAUGUUGAUAUCAAGUUCUCUAGCCAAAUUUAACUACCAUUGCAAAAUCUGCCCUACUUGCCAAAUGAAGUUUUUUAUUGAAUUGAUUUUUCUUCAUAGAAGAUUUUUGUAGAGUAAUUAUUGCACCAUAUGCCUAUCUACUAAUUCCCAAUGCCUUGGUGCAUGGGUUGCACCAUUUAGCAUGCUAUAUUGUAUUUCAUUAGAUAUAUAGAAUAUCAUCCUUGCUAAAACUCCUCAUUAACUACUGUGAAAGUGAAAGACAAAAAGAAGAAAAAGUGGAGGAGCUCAUUGUUCAUCUUGUUUAGCCAUAGUUAUCAUCACCUUAUUGAUAUAUAGCAAGCACUGUAGGCAAGUGAACAGCAGUGGGCAGACAUAUAUUGAUAUCCUUAACUAUAUAUAUAGUAUAUAUAUACAAACAUAUAUAUAUAUACACAUAUAUACACAUGUAUUCAUACAUUAUUUUCAUUCAAAAUAUUAUUGUUUGAUCUUUUUCUGUUUUGGUAAUUCAUGGAAUUAUUGUAAAUACGUAUAAAAUUUAUCUUUUAUAGAAUUUAUUAUGACUGUGAGCAUCAACUUAUUACAGAAGUCAUUAAAGUGCCUGUGAAGUGGUAAUAGAACUCAAGUCAUGGGACCAUUUCUUAGAUCACGAGGAAUGAAUAACCAGGCUGUUACUGAUAAUCUCAGUAUAUCCAAUGCAUUAUUGCUUUCAUUUUUAUUCAGAAUUAGAAGCACAACUCUCGUCUGACAAAACUCUACAUUCAUCCGACCAGUACUUUUCUUUAUCUUUUACAGUUCCAGCGUAAUCAUUAUAUUAAUCUAAUAUACUGAAUACCCAUUUAAUUUACUUUUAAGAAAAAGGGAAAAGUAUCCUGUAUGAUAAUAAACAGAAAAUUGUUUUUAAAUCUUUAUGUCAAAAUAUAAUGUAUAUAUAGGCUUAAUACAAAUUAUAUUUAUUUUUAAUAUAAAAAAAGUUGUAUUAAUUGGUACUUUUCAGCCUCCUCAAUCUUAAUUUUGUAUAUAGAAUUUUUGUUUAAGAGGAGGAAAAUAGCACAAUGCCUUAUUGAUCAAAUGGAAUCUCUUGUCUGUCCACUUGCUAUUCACUUCUUUGUCUAGAAUAGCUGUUAUUUAGAAAAUUUAGAAAAACUACUGCAGAAUUAUUUGUCCAGCACAUAGUGAUAGCUUCCAAUGGAAAAGUUCCAUCUAGAUGCCUGGCACUGAAAAGAGACUUUGGCUGUUGGAUACCAAAACUAUAUGUGAUUUUUAUUACCAUUUUGGAAAAUUAAGUUUCCCUGUAAAGAAUGAUGUCAAUAUCCAUAAUUGUGAUUAUGUUUUUUACUUACGUAGAAAUAGUGCUAACUGUGAAUUUCUAUACAUAUAUAUAUAUAUUAUAUAUAUAGAUACUGUAUUUCCUAAUGUAGAUAAUGUUUACUUUUAUCUUAAUUUAUUUAUUUAAGUCCUAAAGAACAAUUCAAUGUGGCCAAGUGCAAUCAUAAACCAUAAAGUAUUUAAAAUUGUUUUUUUUGUAAAGGUAUCAUCAACAAGAGGUCAAGUUUCAAAAAAUAUUUUGAAGCUUAAUGGAUCAUGUACAAUGUAUAUAGCAUAUCAACCAUAUGAACUACGGACAGUUAUAAUUUUUUGUUGAUAUUAUCUCAUGAUGAUAAAGAGUCAUCCUCCCCAGUCGUCCGCGUUGGCAAACUAUACUUCAUUAUAUCAUUCUAUAUACAUAAAUACAUAACUAGCUUUAUAAUUAUAAGAAUAUUUAUUCUUUAUUUGCUAUCUCCUUUCCCCUAUCAAAAAUCAUCGACGCCCCUAGCAGCUAGUUAUAACACAAAGUUAUAUUAUCAAAACUUUUUGUAAUCGGGGAGAUAAAUUACAAGAAUCCAGUUAACAGGUUUAUAGGUUUGUCAUUAUGGGCGGGGGAAGGGUGUGUGUGUGAACCAAUUUUGUACUAGGUGAAUAUUAAUUCUCCAUUUCUUGUUACAGUCAAACGGUCCACACAAUCGCAAACAUGAGCACGAUCAUUUUGAAUGGCCGUUCCGGGGUCAUUCUCUUGUUUUUUCCUUACUCUGGGAUUGCCAUGUGAUUAAGUACGAGCUUACUCAUGGGGAAGGAAAAACUCCAUAUCCCAGUCAAAAUAACAACAGCAAAGUUUGAUAUCCUAUCAUGAGCACUGUAAUUAGUCUAACCAUACUCUCUCAAAUCUAUUAUACUUGUACCCUAAUGCUUCUCUUCAGAAAAUAAACUGCAAUCUUUGAAU
Molecule: RNA transcript, 6502 nt
Organism: Centruroides sculpturatus (bark scorpion)
Lineage: Eukaryota; Metazoa; Arthropoda; Arachnida; Scorpiones; Buthidae
Gene name: CUGBP Elav-like family member 4
Exons: 10
Source: RefSeq, a predicted model, not a curated record